GAUGAACGCUGGCGGCGUGCCUAAUACAUGCAAGUCGAGCGAAAGGACGAGAAGCUUGCUUCUCUGAUGAUAGCGGCGGACGGGUGAGUAACACGUGGAUAACCUAACUAUAAGACUGGGAUAACAUCGGGAAACAGGAGCUACUAACGGAUAAUAUUUUGCACCGCAUGGUUCACAAGUGAAAGAAGGUCUUGCUGUCACUUAUAGCUGGAUACGCGCUGCAUUAGCUAGUUGGUAAGGUAAAGGCUUAACAAGGCAAGGAGGGAUAGCCGACCUGAGAGGGACGUCGCCCACAUGGGAUCUGAGACUGAGCCCAGACUCCUACGCUGAGAAGCAGUAGGGAAUCUUCCGCGAUGCGGGAGUGCCGGACGUUGCAACGCCGCGGGAGGGAUGAACGACUUCUGAUCGGAGAGCGCUGAAAGCAUGAAGGAUGAAAUGUGUUAUUAACUGUGAACAUCUUGACAGUACCGAGUCAAAAAGCUACGGCUAACUCCGUG
This 497-nucleotide ribosomal RNA is filed under the name uncultured bacterium. RNAcentral describes it as "partial 16S ribosomal RNA". It matches the Rfam family "Bacterial small subunit ribosomal RNA", at positions 28 to 507 of the family's 1533-position model. The record is from RNAcentral.